RNA transcript from Xiphophorus couchianus (Monterrey platyfish), 3155 nucleotides. It is a transcript of the gene named VPS33A core subunit of CORVET and HOPS complexes, with no coding region annotated. NCBI's taxonomy places the organism in Eukaryota, Metazoa, Chordata, Actinopteri, Cyprinodontiformes, Poeciliidae. The record is from RefSeq and is a predicted model, not a curated record. The transcript has 13 exons.
CCAGCGUCACCUGACUGCAUGUUGCUGUUGAAGGGAAAAUGGCUGCCCAUCUUUCAUACGGCAGAGUUAAUUUAAACAUUUUGAGAGAAGCGGCACGAAAAGAGCUUCGAGAGUUUUUGGACAAAUGUGCAGGAAGUAAGGCCAUAGUUUGGGAUGAGUAUCUGACGGGGCCUUUUGGUCUGAUAGCUCAGUACUCUCUUCUGAAGGAACAUGAAGUGGAAAAGAUGUUUACCCUGAAGAGCGGCAGACUCCCCUCUGCUGACGUCAAAAACAUCAUCUUCUUCAUCCGUCCCAGGCUGGAGCUUAUGGACAUCAUAGCUGACAAUAUAUUUAGUGAAGAUAAGCUGCAUCCGGCACGAGACUUCCACAUCCUGUUCGUGCCCCGGCGGAGCAUGCUGUGUGAACAGCGGCUGAAGGAGCAGGGAGUGCUGGGCUCCUUUGUCAACAUCGAUGAGUAUAUCCUGGACCUGAUUCCUUUUGAUGGUGACCUGCUUUCCAUGGAGUAUGAAAGCGCUUUUAGGGAGUGCUAUCUGGAAAAUGACCAGACGAGUUUGUACCACACAGCCAAAGGCCUCAUGACCUUACAGGCGCUCUAUGGUACCAUCCCUCAGAUAUUUGGGAAAGGAGACUGUGCACGUCAUGUUGCCAACAUGAUGUUGCGGAUGAAGAGGGAGUUUGCUGGCACUCAGAAUCAGAUUCUACCGGUGUUUGAUACUCUUCUUCUCCUGGACCGUAACGUUGACCUCCUGACCCCCCUCGCUACACAGCUCACCUACGAGGGACUUAUUGAUGAGAUCUAUGGAAUAAAUAAUGGAUAUGUCAAGCUCCCUCCUGAGAAGUUUGCACAGAAGAAGCAAGGUGAAGGUAGCAAAGAUUUGCCGACAGAGCCCAAGAAGUUGCAGCUGAACUCCGCCGAGGAACUGUACGCGGAAAUCCGCGACAAAAACUUCAACGCUGUUGGAGCAGCGCUCAGCAAAAAGGCCAAAAUUAUAUCUGCAGCCUUCGAGGAGCGCCAUAAUGCUAAAACAGUGGGCGAGAUAAAGCAGUUUGUGUCUCAGCUGCCUCACAUGCAGGCAGCUCGAAGCUCGCUGGCCAACCACACGUCUGUUGCUGAGCUGAUUAAAGAUAUAACCACAUCUGAGGCCUUUUUUGAUAACCUAACUGUGGAGCAGGAGUUUAUGACGGGCGUCGACACAGACAAGGUGAACACAUACAUAGAAGACUGCAUCGCCCAGAAGGAUCCACUAAUCAAGAUUCUGCGCCUGGUGUCCAUGCAGUCAGUGUGCAACAAUGGCCUCAAGCCGAAGGUGCUGGACUACUACAAGAGGGAGAUACUUCAGACUUAUGGCUAUGAACACAUACUAACGCUGAACAACCUAGAGAAGGCGGGUCUUCUGAAGCCACAGACAGGCUCCAGAAAUAACUACCCCACUAUUAGAAAAACCCUUAAGCUGUGGAUGGAGGACGCCAACGAGCAGAACCCAAACGACAUCUCGUACGUGUACAGCGGCUACGCUCCGCUUAGCAUCCGGCUCACUCAGGUGCUGGCAAGGCCAGGCUGGCGCAGCAUCGAAGAGGUGCUAAAGAUGCUCCCGGGCCCACACUUCGAGGAGAGACAGCAGCUUCCAUCUGGACUUCAUAAGAAACGUAAGUGCUAAACAGAGGCUGAACUUACUCUGGCUGUCUUUUUACUGUCCGGUUUGAGAAACCAGCUCUCUGGAUCAUUGAUGAGUUGUAUUGCACAAAAUUAACUUUUUUGAAUUUUACAUUAUGUUAUUAUGUCAUUCCGUCAUCGAAAAUAUACUUUGAGCGUUGUUGUGAUUCUUUCAUGCAUGUUUGAAGAAUCAUUGAAUCAGCUCACAAAGUACCGCCUAUUUACCCAAAGCUCCUCCUUGGAGCUGCAGUCUCCAGCUGAGAUCCCGCCUCCUCUGUGUCUCCCCCCGCUCAGCUCCUCCAGACUAGUGGCAGCAGCAAUGAGCAAACACCUGGUGGAACUGUUGAUCUCAUAAUAUGAGCUUCUUCUCAGUACAGUGCUCUUAAGAAUGGUUGUACAAGGCAUAAAAAGUAAGGCAUUGUUGUGAUGAUGUGCUGAAGGUGAUGAUGGAAAGAGCAGGAGACUCUUAAACAGACAGAGGCCAAAUUCAAGGAGUCAAAUGUCUUUUAAGUCAUAUUUGAUAUAUACAGCAUUUUUAUAAUAACUAAAGGCAACAUAGUUACCUGAUUGUGCAAUAAAAUCCCACUAUGUGCCUGAAAAAAAUACACAAUACUGUUCCUUUAAGAGCUGUGCUAGAAAGAUGUUCUUCUAUCUCCACCUUGUCAAGAGGCUGUGUUUGCACAUAUGUUUGCCUCUUAUCUUGAACACAAUCUGUGUUUUUCGGUUUCAGUAAAAGUAACCAUGGUAAUUCACCCUUGUACGAUGCAAACCACCUUCCUGACUGAGAACCCAGAGUUGAACCUUUGAGUUAUCAUGCUGAGACGUUAAUCCUGCUGCUGGGCCGCUGCUCAUCCUGCCACUCGUCACAGAGUGAAAACAAACGUCUGUCUGCCCUGCGUAGAUAAGACGCAGGCUUUGCUUUAGAAAGGGGUAAAGCUGAACAGUGGAAGAGUGAUGUCUGGAACCUGACAAUGCAACCGAGUUAUCGUCAAUGUCAGAUUACAAACUGGAUUACAAAAUAUGCGUGUUUUCUCUCAGUGGUUUAUUUUAGGCAGCAGAAGAUCUUAAUAAUACAUUUUAAUUAGACACAUUUUAAUUAAAAUGAGCUAAUUAGAGGUGUGAGUUUGGGCAUUAGAUGGCUGACUCGUUGCUACAUGCCUCUUUUCAAUUGGUUAUGGAGGUGAUAAUAAGAAACCUUAAUUUAAUUGCUGUAUUUGUUUUUUGGGGGUCUUUUUGUACUUUGGUGGAAGUAGUGUUUUGUUCUGAUCUGACCAGAGCAUCUUCUUCCACAUUUUUACUUAGAGUCCAAGUAAAAAUGGACAUACACAAAUGGUGUACAUUUGUUUUGUGGUGUACAAAACAGAUGUACACCACACUUCAAGAUUUUUACUUGCAAAAAGAACAUUAAAAAUAUUUUUCUAUGGGUAUGAACACUUUUGAAAGUAAGUUGAUUGGUAGGUAGAGGGUUUUUUCCCCCAUUCUUUUUUAUUUCUUGAGUUCA